This 309-nucleotide ribosomal RNA is filed under the name uncultured eukaryote. RNAcentral describes it as "partial 18S ribosomal RNA". It matches the Rfam family "Eukaryotic small subunit ribosomal RNA", at positions 1470 to 1796 of the family's 1831-position model. The record is from RNAcentral.
CCCUUAGAUGUUCUGGGCGGCCCGCGCACUACAAUGGCGUGUGCAGCGAGUGCCGAAGUAGAGCUUUCCGAGGUAUUCUUGCAAUGCUCGUUUUGAUGGGGAUAGACCCUUGCAACUGUUGGUUUUGAACGAGGAAUUCCUUGUAAGCAUGGUUUAUCAUCCGACGCUGAAUGCGUCCCUGCCCUUUGUACACACCGCCCGUCGCUCCUACCGAUGAGUCGUCCGGUGAAGUUCGUAGACCUCGUGAUCGCGGAUCACUGGGGGAAGCAAAAUGAACCUCGCGGUUUAGAGGAAGGAGAAGUCGUAACA